Molecule: non-coding RNA, 1474 nt
Organism: Phalacrocorax carbo (great cormorant)
Lineage: Eukaryota; Metazoa; Chordata; Aves; Suliformes; Phalacrocoracidae
Source: RefSeq, a predicted model, not a curated record
UAUUGGGUCUGGCUGAGGUGGAGUUAAUUUUCUCCACAGCAGCCUUCAUAGUGAUGUGGUUUGUAUUGGUAGCUAGAAAGGUGUUCAUAACACACCAGUGUUGUGGCUACUGCUGAGCAGCACUCCACAGCAUCAAGGCUGUCUUUCCACCAUUCCCCCCUCACCAGUAGGCUGGGUGUGGGCAAGAUCUUGGGAGAGGACACAGCCAGGACAGCUGACCCCAACUGACCAAAGGGAUAUUCCAUACCAUAUGACAUCUGCUCAGCAACAGAAGCUAAGAGAAAGGAGGAGAAGGGAGGUGGCAUUCAAGGGAGCAUAUCAAGCUGGAAAUAGCUCAUGUGGUAGCUCUUGGGCCUGACCAGACAGGACCUGCUGUGCAAAAUGUACUCUACACUCCAGCUGGGGAACACGGUCUCACCUGGAGCCUCUGGCAGAAAACAUCAGGAGAAACCCAAGGCUGAUCAUCAUGGUUUUGGAGCUGGGAGGAUCGAGGAUCAGAAGCCCACUACCCCCCAACUGAAAAAGAGAUACUAGUAGCAUAUAAGGGGGCUUGAGCUGCUUCAGAAGUCAUUGGUACAGAAGCAUAUUUCCUCUUGGCACUGCGAUUGCUGGUGCUACACUGGCUGUUGAGAGGAAACAUCACCUUUACAAAUCAUGCAAUCAACGCUACAUGGAGUAAGUGGGUAGCACUGAUUGUGCAAUGAGCUCAACAGGGGAACCCAACCACCAGGAAUCCUGGAAGAGAUGGACUGGCCAGAAGGCAGAGAUUUUGGAGCAAUGCCUGAGGAGGAAACCAUUGAAAGUGGAAAGCUGCUGCUUGGAGUCCCACACGACAUAUCAUUGAAGCCACUGAAGGAGAAGACUUCAGGCAAGCCUGUGGGGAUAAUCCUUUUAUGCUGAAGCUUUGUCCAGACAGCUGCAUUUGCAACCUGGCUGAGGACUACUGUUUCUAUUUCGUAUUUGAAGAAGGGCUUGUGUGCUCAGAAACUCAUCAUUGUGCAGGGCAACACAGCAGAGGAAGUGCUUGAGAAAGAGGAAGAAAAUUUCAGAUUCUUCCAAAAGCUGCUAUAAAACAAAGCAGGAUCAAAGGACUUGCAUGAGAGAUCCAGUUAUGGGGAAUAAAAUCACAAGAUGGGCAUCGUUACAUCCCAAUAGAUAUGAUCAAUAAGAUAACAGUUAAGUUCCCACCAGUCAGCAAAAAAGAAACCCAAACUUUCCCAGGCAUUCUGGAGGAUGCAUAUUCCAGGUUACAGUCAGUUUGUGAGUCUUCUCUGUUGAGUGACCCAAAAGAACUCUUUUGACUGAGGCCCACUCUGCCCUCCCAGUGAGUAGGUUGGCAGUGUGCAGGAAGUUGGGAGGGGACACAACAAAGGGUGUUGACUCAAACUGACCAAAGAGAAAUUUCAUGCGAUAUAAAAUCAUGCUCAGCAAUAAAAAUAGAGAGGGAGAGGUGUUUUGGGGUGGGUGGCAUUGC